This 205-nucleotide ribosomal RNA is filed under the name uncultured bacterium. RNAcentral's name for it is "partial 16S ribosomal RNA". It matches the Rfam family "Bacterial small subunit ribosomal RNA", at positions 568 to 774 of the family's 1533-position model. The record is from RNAcentral.
CGCGUAGGCGGCUUGACAAGUCACUUGUGAAAUCUCCGGGCUUAACUCGGAACGGCCAAGUGAAACUGUCAUGCUAGAGUGCAGAAGGGGCAAUCGGAAUUCUUGGUGUAGCGGUGAAAUGCGUAGAUAUCAAGAGGAACACCUGAGGUGAAGACGGGUUGCUGGGCUGACACUGACGCUGAGGCGCGAAGCCAGGGAGCAAACG